UUGUCAAAUAUUCAAUGAUCU
This 21-nucleotide non-coding RNA is filed under the name Caenorhabditis elegans. The record is from RNAcentral. Lineage: Eukaryota; Metazoa; Nematoda; Chromadorea; Rhabditida; Rhabditidae.